CGCGUGGGAAUCUGCCCUUGGGUUCGGAAUAACAGUGAGAAAUUGCUGCUAAUACCGGAUGAUGUCUUCGGACCAAAGAUUUAUCGCCCAGGGAUGAGCCCGCGUAGGAUUAGCUAGUUGGUGGGGUAAUGGCCUACCAAGGCGACGAUCCUUAGCUGGUCUGAGAGGAUGAUCAGCCACACUGGGACUGAGACACGGCCCAG
RNAcentral lists this ribosomal RNA (203 nucleotides) under uncultured bacterium. Its description in RNAcentral is "partial 16S ribosomal RNA". It matches the Rfam family "Bacterial small subunit ribosomal RNA", at positions 114 to 334 of the family's 1533-position model. The record is from RNAcentral.